AGGGGCGUAGCUCAACGGGUAGAGCACCGGUCUCCAAAACCGAAGGUUGCAGGUUCGAGUCCUGUCGCCCCUG
RNAcentral lists this transfer RNA (73 nucleotides) under Micromonospora pallida. Its description in RNAcentral is "tRNA_Trp_CCA". It matches the Rfam family "tRNA". Rfam says of the family: Transfer RNA (tRNA) molecules are approximately 80 nucleotides in length. Their secondary structure includes four short double-helical elements and three loops (D, anti-codon, and T loops). Further hydrogen bonds mediate the characteristic L-shaped molecular structure. tRNAs have two regions of fundamental functional importance: the anti-codon, which is responsible for specific mRNA codon recognition, and the 3' end, to which the tRNAs corresponding amino acid is attached (by aminoacyl-tRNA synthetases). tRNAs cope with the degeneracy of the genetic code in two manners: having more than one tRNA (with a specific anti-codon) for a particular amino acid; and 'wobble' base-pairing, i.e. permitting non-standard base-pairing at the 3rd anti-codon position. Lineage: Bacteria; Bacillati; Actinomycetota; Actinomycetes; Micromonosporales; Micromonosporaceae. The record is from RNAcentral.